Molecule: ribosomal RNA, 599 nt
Filed under: Roseibium aggregatum
Lineage: Bacteria; Pseudomonadati; Pseudomonadota; Alphaproteobacteria; Hyphomicrobiales; Stappiaceae
Description: bacterial SSU rRNA
Rfam family: Bacterial small subunit ribosomal RNA
Source: RNAcentral
GACGGGUGAGUAACGCGUGGGAACCUACCUUUAGGUACGGAACAACAGUUGGAAACGACUGCUAAUACCGUAUGUGCCCUAUGGGGGAAAGAUUUAUCGCCUAAGGAUGGGCCCGCGUUGGAUUAGCUAGUUGGUGGGGUAAAGGCCUACCAAGGCGACGAUCCAUAGCUGGUCUGAGAGGAUGAUCAGCCACACUGGGACUGAGACACGGCCCAGACUCCUACGGGAGGCAGCAGUGGGGAAUAUUGGACAAUGGGCGCAAGCCUGAUCCAGCCAUGCCGCGUGAGUGAUGAAGGCCCUAGGGUUGUAAAGCUCUUUCAGCGAGGAGGAUAAUGACGUUACUCGCAGAAGAAGCCCCGGCUAACUUCGUGCCAGCAGCCGCGGUAAUACGAAGGGGGCUAGCGUUGUUCGGAAUCACUGGGCGUAAAGCGCACGUAGGCGGACUUUUAAGUCAGGGGUGAAAUCCCGGGGCUCAACCCCGGAACUGCCUUUGAUACUGGAAGUCUUGAGUCCGAGAGAGGUGAGUGGAACUCCGAGUGUAGAGGUGAAAUUCGUAGAUAUUCGGAAGAACACCAGUGGCGAAGGCGGCUCACUGGCUC